RNAcentral lists this ribosomal RNA (451 nucleotides) under uncultured bacterium. Its description in RNAcentral is "bacterial SSU rRNA". It matches the Rfam family "Bacterial small subunit ribosomal RNA", at positions 340 to 786 of the family's 1533-position model. The record is from RNAcentral.
UACGGAAGGCAGCAGGGGGAAUAUUGCACAAUGGGCGCAAGCCUGAUGCAGCCAUGCCGCGUGUAUGAAAAAGGCCUUCGGGUUGUAAAGUACUUUCAGUCGUGAGGAAGGUGUUAAGGUUAAUAACCUUAGCAAUUGACGUUAGCGACAGAAGAAGCACCGGCUAACUCCGUGCCAGCAGCCGCGGGUAAUACGGAGGGUGCGAGCGUUAAUCGGAAUUACUGGGCGUAAAGGGCACGCAGGCGGUUAAUUAAGUUGGAUGUGAAAUCCCCGGGCUUAACCUGGGAAUGGCAUUCAAGACUGGUUAGCUAGAGUCUUGUAGAGGGGGUAGAAUUCCAUGUGUAGCGGUGAAAUGCGUAGAGAUGUGGAGGAAUACCGGUGGCGAAGGCGGCCCCUGGCAAAGACUGACGCUCAUGUGCGAAAGCGUGGGGAGCAAACAGGAUUAGAUACC